RNAcentral lists this ribosomal RNA (562 nucleotides) under uncultured Pseudozyma. RNAcentral describes it as "eukaryotic LSU rRNA". It matches the Rfam family "Eukaryotic large subunit ribosomal RNA", at positions 112 to 656 of the family's 3401-position model. The record is from RNAcentral. Lineage: Eukaryota; Fungi; Basidiomycota; Ustilaginomycetes; Ustilaginales; Ustilaginaceae.
GAUUGAAAGCUGGCGUCUUCGGCGUCCGCAUUGUAAUCUCAAGAAGUGUUUUCCGCUUCGGACCAUGCCUAAGUCCCUUGGAAAAGGGCAUCAUAGAGGGUGAUAAUCCCGUACAUGGCAUGGAGCGCCCGAAGCUUUGUGAUACGCUUUCUAAGAGUCGAGUUGUUUGGGAAUGCAGCUCAAAAUGGGUGGUAAAUGCCAUCUAAGGCUAAAUAUUGGGGAGAGACCGAUAGCGAACAAGUACAGUGAUGGAAAGAUGAAAAGAACUUUGAAAAGAGAGUUAAACAGUACGUGAAAUUGCCAAAAGGGAAGGGUAGGAGGUCAGAGAUGCGGCCUAGGAUUCAGCCUUGCUUUUGCUUGGUGUUUUUCCUGCGUUGCAGGCCAACGUCGGUUUUGGGCACUGGAGAAGGGUAGGAGGAACGUGGCACCUCUCGGGGUGUGUUAUAGCCUCCUACUGGAUACAGCGACCGAGACCGAGGACAGCAGCGUACUCGCAAGAGCGGGCCUUCGGGCACCUUUACGCUUAGGGCGUUGGCAUAAUGGCCCUCUACCACCCGUCUUG